AUUGAACGCUGGCGGCAGGCCUAACACAUGCAAGUCGAGCGGAUGACGGGAGCUUGCUCCUUGAUUCAGCGGCGGACGGGUGAGUAAUGCCUAGGAAUCUGCCUGGUAGUGGGGGACAACGUUUCGAAAGGAACGCUAAUACCGCAUACGUCCUACGGGAGAAAGCAGGGGACCUUCGGGCCUUGCGCCAUCAGAUGAGCCUAGGUCGGAUUAGCUAGUUGGUGGGGUAAUGGCUCACCAAGGCGACGAUCCGUAACUGGUCUGAGAGGAUGAUCAGUCACACUGGAGCUGAGAAACGGUCCAAACUCCUACGGGAGGAAGCAGUGGGGAAUAUUGGACAAUGGGGGCAACCCUGAUCCAGCGACGCCGCGUGUGUGAAGAAGGCCUGCGGGUUGUAAAGCACUUUUAGUGGGGAUGAAAAGCCGAAGGCUAAUACCUUUCGGUCUUGACCUAACCCAAAGAAAAAGCACCGGCUAACUCUGUGCCAGCAGCCGCCGUAA
Molecule: ribosomal RNA, 500 nt
Filed under: uncultured bacterium
Lineage: Bacteria
Description: partial 16S ribosomal RNA
Rfam family: Bacterial small subunit ribosomal RNA
Source: RNAcentral